UAUGAUGUAUAAUAUGAAGUUAGGUAGGUAGUUUUCUGUGAAAUAUGUGGUCACACUGGGCCCCGUCAUA
Molecule: transfer RNA, 70 nt
Filed under: Uromastyx ornata
Lineage: Eukaryota; Metazoa; Chordata; Lepidosauria; Squamata; Agamidae
Description: tRNA-Gln
Source: RNAcentral